GUUAUCACAUAUACUUUCAACUUCAUGCUACAAUGGAAUGCAUCAGGAAUGUUCUUCAUCUUUUCAAUGGUCUCCGCAUUUUCGAUUGUAUUUAUAUACUUUUUAGUACCGGAGACGAAAGGCCGAUCACUUGAAGAAAUACAAGCAUUGUUCUCCAACUCUGUACAAUGAUUCAUACAAAUCAAUUAUUGUAAUUGAAAAAUCGAUUAUUAUGAUUGGUGUGGGUUUACAUGAGAUUUGUGUAUGGAUUUAAUUUUAUAUGGGAAAAUGACAACAAUAAAUUUGUAUUUUUCGUGUCUGAAAAGAAGCUGUAUGGUUUUAGUUACGUAUGCAUCAAAAUAUAUAGUUCUGUGUGAUAUUGUAAACUAUAAAUUAAAUAAAAAUG
Brassica napus (rape) is the source of this 385-nucleotide long non-coding RNA. RefSeq lists it as uncharacterized. Lineage: Eukaryota; Viridiplantae; Streptophyta; Magnoliopsida; Brassicales; Brassicaceae. The record is from RefSeq and is a predicted model, not a curated record. The transcript has 2 exons.